This 429-nucleotide ribosomal RNA is filed under the name Bacteroidota bacterium. Its description in RNAcentral is "Bacteroidetes bacterium partial 16S ribosomal RNA". It matches the Rfam family "Bacterial small subunit ribosomal RNA", at positions 355 to 776 of the family's 1533-position model. The record is from RNAcentral. Lineage: Bacteria; Pseudomonadati; Bacteroidota.
UAGGGAAUCUUCCGCAAUGGACGCAAGUCUGACGGAGCAACGCCGCGUGAGUGAAGAAGGAUUUCGGUUCGUAAAACUCUGUUGUUAGAGAAGAACAGCGCAUAGAGUAACUGUUAUGCGUGUGACGGUAUCUAACCAGAAAGCCACGGCUAACUACGUGCCAGCAGCCGCGGUAAUACGUAGGUGGCAAGCGUUGUCCGGAUUUAUUGGGCGUAAAGCGAGCGCAGGCGGUCAAUUAAGUCUGAUGUGAAAGCACCCGGCUCAACCGGGGAGGGUCAUUGGAAACUGGUUGACUUGAGUGCAGAAGAGGAGAGUGGAAUUCCAUGUGUAGCGGUGAAAUGCGUAGAUAUAUGGAGGAACACCAGUGGCGAAGGCGACUCUCUGAUCUGUAACUGACGCUGAGGCUCGAAAGCGUGGGUAGCAAACAGG